GAUGAAGAACGUAGCGAAAUGCGAUAAGUAAUGUGAAUUGCAGAAUUCAGUGAAUCAUCGAAUCUUUGAACGCACAUUGCGCCCGCCAGUAUUCUGGCGGGCAUGCCUGUUCGAGCGUCAUUUCAACCAUCAAGCCCCAGGCUUGUGUUGGGGACCUGCGGCUGCCGCAGGCCCUGAAAACCAGUGGCGGGCUCGCUGUCACACCGGGCGUAGUAGCAUACAUCUCGCUCUGGGCGUGCUGCGGGUUCCGGCCGUUAAACCACCUUCAUAACCCAAGGUUGACCUCGGAUCAGGUAGGAAGACCCGCUGAACUUAAGCAUAUCAAUAAGCGGAGGA
RNAcentral lists this unclassified non-coding RNA (336 nucleotides) under soil metagenome. RNAcentral describes it as "partial contains 5.8S ribosomal RNA, internal transcribed spacer 2, and large subunit ribosomal RNA". The stretch from base 1 to 120 matches the Rfam family "5.8S ribosomal RNA", at positions 35 to 154 of the family's 154-position model. The record is from RNAcentral.